CCAGAUGCUUUGAUCCUUUAGCUUGACAGAUCGACAUUUGUAUCAGUGAUGACCCGAUGAGUGGCCUUGGUCGUUUUCAGUUCUUCUUUGAUCUUGUCGAUAUCCUUCCGAAGGCAUUCAUUGUUGAAGAGAGCAAUAUCAAGAUUGUUUCUUUCUUUUGCCAACACAGACUUCCGGAUGGCGUUAUCUUUUCGGCAUUCUCUUCGGUAUCUUCUUCGGCUUCUUUAUAUUUGAGACGGGGUACCCGGAGACAGUGUUUACUUGCAGAUGACUAAUAUUAAUCAAUCAGUUCAGAUUGAUGGUCGAAUCUCAACUUCCUUUAGUCUGGUAUUUCACUCCUUCACCCAUCAAUUCCAUGAUGGAAAUUAUUGCCGAACCGAUGAUCAUCGGUGUCGCCACAGCUUCGGGCCAUGGUUUUUGUGGCGAAGGUCUGAGUCGUUCGGGAG
Molecule: long non-coding RNA, 446 nt
Filed under: Panax ginseng (ginseng)
Lineage: Eukaryota; Viridiplantae; Streptophyta; Magnoliopsida; Apiales; Araliaceae
Description: long non-coding RNA (PGIN_LNC014412)
Source: RNAcentral